UACGUAGGGUGCAAGCGUUGUCCGGCAUUAUUGGGCGUAAAGAGCUCGUAGGCGGUUUGUCGCGUCUGCUGUGAAAACUCGGGGCUUAACUCCGGGCCUGCAGUGGGUACGGGCAGACUAGAGUGCGGUAGGGGAGACUGGAAUUCCUGGUGUAGCGGUGAAAUGCGCAGAUAUCAGGAGGAACACCGGUGGCGAAGGCGGGGCUCUGGGCCGUAACUGACGCUGAGGAGCGAAAGCGUGGGGAGCGAACAGG
Molecule: ribosomal RNA, 253 nt
Filed under: uncultured bacterium
Lineage: Bacteria
Description: partial 16S ribosomal RNA
Rfam family: Bacterial small subunit ribosomal RNA
Source: RNAcentral